UUUGAUCCUGGCUCAGGAUGAACGCUAGCGGCAGGCCUAACACAUGCAAGUCGAGGGGUAACAGAGAAGCUUGCUUCUGCUGACGACCGGCGCACGGGUGCGUAACGCGUAUAGAAUCUACCUUGUACUAAGGGAUAGCCUUUGGAAACGAAGAUUAAUACCUUAUAGUAUGAUGACUUGGCAUCAAGAUAUCAUUAAAGAUUACGGUACAAGAUGACUAUGCGUUCUAUUAGCUAGAUGGUGUGGUAACGGCACACCAUGGCAACGAUAGAUAGGGGCCCUGAGAGGGGGAUCCCCCACACUGGUACUGAGACACGGACCAGACUCCUACGGGAGGCAGCAGUGAGGAAUAUUGGACAAUGGAGGCAACUCUGAUCCAGCCAUGCCGCGUGCAGGAAGACUGCCCUAUGGGUUGUAAACUGCUUUUAUACAGGAAGAAACAGCUCUACGUGUAGAGCCUUGACGGUACUGUAAGAAUAAGGAUCGGCUAACUCCGUGCCAGCAGCCGCGGUAAUA
RNAcentral lists this ribosomal RNA (516 nucleotides) under uncultured Bacteroidota bacterium. RNAcentral's name for it is "bacterial SSU rRNA". It matches the Rfam family "Bacterial small subunit ribosomal RNA", at positions 12 to 525 of the family's 1533-position model. Lineage: Bacteria; Pseudomonadati; Bacteroidota. The record is from RNAcentral.